This 484-nucleotide ribosomal RNA is filed under the name uncultured bacterium. RNAcentral describes it as "partial 16S ribosomal RNA". It matches the Rfam family "Bacterial small subunit ribosomal RNA", at positions 30 to 507 of the family's 1533-position model. The record is from RNAcentral.
AUUGAACGCUGACGGCAGGCCUAACACAUGCCAGUCGAGCGGAUGAAGGGAGCUUGCUCCUGGAUUCAGCGGCGGACGGGUGAGUAAUGCCUAGGAAUCUGCCUGGUAGUGGGGGAUAACGUCCGGAAACGGGCGCUAAUACCGCAUACGUCCUGAGGGAGAAAGUGGGGGAUCUUCGGACCUCACGCUAUCAGAUGAGCCUAGGUCGGAUUAGCUAGUUGGUGGGGUAAAGGCCUACCAAGGCGACGAUCCGUAACUGGUCUGAGAGGAUGAUCAGUCACACUGGAACUGAGACACGGUCCAGACUCCUACGGGAGGCAGCAGUGGGGAAUAUUGGACAAUGGGCGAAAGCCUGAUCCAGCCAUGCCGCGUGUGUGAAGAAGGUCUUCGGAUUGUAAAGCACUUUAAGUUGGGAGGAAGGGCAGUAAGUUAAUACCUUGCUGUUUUGACGUUACCAACAGAAUAAGCACCGGCUAACUUCGUG